RNAcentral lists this ribosomal RNA (497 nucleotides) under uncultured bacterium. RNAcentral's name for it is "partial 16S ribosomal RNA". It matches the Rfam family "Bacterial small subunit ribosomal RNA", at positions 28 to 507 of the family's 1533-position model. The record is from RNAcentral.
GAUGAACGCUGGCGGCGUGCUUAAUACAUGCAAGUCGAGCGGAAGGACCAUAAGCUUGCGUCGCUCUCGUUAGCCGCGCGCGGGUGAGUAACAUGUGUAUCAUCCACCUAUAUGUCGGGGAAAUCCACGGGACUCCGGAUCUAACCCCGGAUAAUAUCCUGCACCGCGUGGUUGAAUGGUGAAAGUCGGUCUUUCUGUCUCUACUAGAUGCAUCUGCGCUGCAUUAGCUAGUUGGUAAGGUCACGGCUUACCAAGGCUACGAUGCAUAGCCGAAGUGCGAGAGGGGUCGGCCACACGAGAAGUGAGACGCGGUCCAGACUCCUGCGGGAGGCAGCAGUAGGGUAUGGUCGGCAGUAGGCGGGAGCCUGACAGAGCAGGGCCACGUGAGAGACGGAGGUCUUCGGAUCGUAAAGCUCUGUUUUUAGGGGAGAACAGAUGUGUCAGUAGCUGUGCACAUCUUGACGGUAACUAGUAAGAAAGCCACGGCUAACUACGUG